GUGCUCACUUCAGCAGCACAUAUACUAAAAUUGGAACAAUACAGAAAAGAUUAUUAGCAUGGUCCCUGUGCAAGGAUGAGACACGCAAAUUUGUGAAGCAUUCCAUAUUUUU
Zalophus californianus (California sea lion) is the source of this 112-nucleotide small nuclear RNA. The record is from Ensembl. Lineage: Eukaryota; Metazoa; Chordata; Mammalia; Carnivora; Otariidae.